GAGGAGGAGCCGGGGAGGGUGGGAAGCUUCGGGGUCGCCAUCUUGGUGCCGGAGGUGACCCGCCGGCCUGAGGGGAGCCAUCCAUCCCACUCGGAGACGGCGGCAGAGGUGUUUGCGUGGGACCCCGUGGAGCGUUCCCUGCCGCCGGACCAUACCUUCCUUGAAGUAUCCAAAAUUGGACACAGCAUCCCAGCCAGGGCACAGACAGCUCCAAGGACAGCUGAAGAAUUACAAAAUGUUUUGUAGAUGAUAACACUGGCUAUAAAUUGCAGCUGGAAGAUGAGUAGCAAAUGGGGCUGGGAAUGUUAAGAAGAGGACAGGAUGGGCUCAUGAUUAAGGUAAUCAUUGAUACCCUGGGAAACUGUAUUCUUUCCUUGCCUCUGUGAGAGUUCUCAGAUAACAUGCUGGAAGAUAAGAAGUCACAUAUUUGACACGGGUUCAUUAAUUGCUUCCUACUCCUUAAGUAUCUGAUCAGAUGUGCUAAGAAUUUGCAGCUAAAAUUAGCAUCAAUGAGAACUAUUUAAUUUAUAAUGCCAAACACAAAGUGAAUAAACAAUUUGCA
Molecule: long non-coding RNA, 562 nt
Filed under: Calidris pugnax (ruff)
Lineage: Eukaryota; Metazoa; Chordata; Aves; Charadriiformes; Scolopacidae
Description: lncRNA (ENSCPUG00000003335.1)
Source: RNAcentral